RNAcentral lists this ribosomal RNA (497 nucleotides) under uncultured bacterium. RNAcentral describes it as "partial 16S ribosomal RNA". It matches the Rfam family "Bacterial small subunit ribosomal RNA", at positions 28 to 507 of the family's 1533-position model. The record is from RNAcentral.
GAUGAACGCUGGCGGCGUGCCUAAUACAUGCAAGUCGAGCGAACGGACGAGAAGCUUGCUUCUCUGAUGUUAGCGGCGGACGGGUGAGUAACACGUGGAUAACCUACCUAUAAGACUGGGAUAACUUCGGGAAACCGUAGCUAAUACCGGAUAAUAUUUUGAACCGCAUGGUUCAAAAGUGAAAGACGGUCUUGCUGUCACUUAUAGAUGGAUCCGCGCUGCAUUAGCUAGUUGGUAAAGUAACGGCUUACCAAGGCAACGAUGCAUAGCCGACCUGAGAGGGUGAUCGGCCACACUGGAACUGAGACACGGUCCAGACCCCUACGGGAGGCAGCAGUAGGGAAUCUUCCGCAAUGGGCGAAAGCCUGACGGAGCAACGCCGCGUGAGUGAUGAAGGUCUUCGGAUCGUAAAACUCUGUUAUUAGGGAAGAACAUAUGUGUAAGUAACUGUGCACAUCUUGACGGUACCUAAUCAGAAAGCCACGGCUAACUACGUG